RNAcentral lists this transfer RNA (69 nucleotides) under Bos taurus (domestic cattle). It matches the Rfam family "tRNA". Rfam says of the family: Transfer RNA (tRNA) molecules are approximately 80 nucleotides in length. Their secondary structure includes four short double-helical elements and three loops (D, anti-codon, and T loops). RNAcentral also lists the same sequence under 2 other names. The record is from Rfam by way of RNAcentral. Lineage: Eukaryota; Metazoa; Chordata; Mammalia; Artiodactyla; Bovidae.
CCUGGUGGCUCAGCCGGUAAAGCAUCUGCCUGCAAUGCAGGAGACCCGGGUUCAAUUCCUGGGUCAGGA